CAGAGAGAAGUAGUUCCGGCUACGAUGUUCUUCCGCAAGACGCAAGCAGUUCUGUUUAUUAACCGCUAGAGCGUCAAAAGUUACCUACCGCAGCUGUAAGAGCUCACAUAAUUAAAGCGGCAGACAACAUAACUUCAAUGCACGCUUAUAAUAAACAAUGUUAUUGUGUGUUGGCAUGGACACUAAUAUAGUUAUUGAUAGCUAUAUUAGACUUGUGGCCAGUUGGCAGGCUACACAAAGAUUUGUCAAAGUAACUUUUUCAGACUUUUUUAGCAUUGUGAAACAAUAACCGUUUUAUUUUUCACUUUUUAAGCGGUUUUGUUUGGUGGUCCUCAACGUUCAUUUCAUUUAAGGGGAAGGAGUAGUACUCAUGUCAUUCUCGCAGCACCUCUUCUAAAUCUACAGCACAAAACAGUAUAUGUAGUUCACAGAACACAUUAAUCUUAUGAGACGUUUCUCAAAAAAUAUAGCACAUCCAGUGUAGUACGAUCCCUGAAUGAAUGACUGUAAUGUGCUGGUUCUUUUAGUGAAUCAAAAACAGUGCACACUUAACAAACUUAAAGGCAGGGUAGGCGAUUUGCUUCAAAACCAUUUUUUGUUUUGCUGGUUGAAAGUCUCUUCACAUCCCAUAAUCACUAUUAUUAUUAUUACUAUUUAUUUAUUCUGUGGGAGGCAUAGGACCAUAAAAUGUUAGUCCAAUCAUAUCCCUCGGUCCGAGGGCUACGAUAUUAUGCGCUUUGUACUAAAAUGUUUUCUCAACAGUAAAUGAGACAUGAUGGAAUCUGACAGCGUUGCGUUCAAAAUUACAUCAGUAGUGCUUGUCAUGUGUUUUGGGGGAGGCGUGGCUUUGAAGAGUGAUUUGCAGGUAGGGUGUGAUCUUAUGCUUUCAAAACUAGCUUGAUAUUGCUAGCCUCUCCAAAUUCACCAAUCCUACCUUUAAAACUUAUAUUGAAACAUGUAGUUGCAGAUGCACAUGAAGUUUGUCAGUAGUAUAUUAUUAAAAUAAAUGUUAGUCAUACUUUUUUUUUGUUUUGGUGUUGCUGUACUUUUUGCUAACAGUCCAGUUUUGAAUCUGUCCUGUAUUGCAGGUGAAACUAAGCGGUUGUCCUUUAACACUGAUGUUCAAGUGUCAGUCAUUGGAUAUCUACUUACUGUGCAUUGAUGGACACCCAAUCAAUCUGAGGGUCUUUGAAGAAGAUAUCACAAGCAUUAUCCAUCUCCAUUAAACUCCAGAAUCUCAAGGGCUGAAUCCAUUUUCUCUCUGUAUCAAUUGUAAUCUGGACUGAUUAGUGUGUGAUUAGAAUGCAUGACUGUAACUCUCCCUGCCCAGUAACUCAAAGCCCAGAAGCAUCAAUGAUAGGUCAGCUUCUACAGCAAAUGGAUGAGAUUGAAGGAGUCAAUUCUUGUUCCUUGUGAGAUAGAAGAGGCUUAUGGAUCAGACUCAAACUGUGUGAAAAUCUACAGACUUUGUGCAGAAAGUAAAACUCCUUUAUGUUCAAAGUAGGCAUCGAAAAAAGGAAGUGAAGAGAAGGAGACAAGAGACAGAAGAAGAUUACCACACGAACAUAACCCAUCCGUUCCCUGUCAGAAGAAGCCAGUAAUUUAUAACACACAUUAGGUAUUGUACACAUGAUUUCUUAGUCAAGUUGGCGCACCACUUUUAUCACACACCAUCCAUCUGAAUCAUAUUGUAGUUCAGCAGUAGCACAACUGUGUCCUCUGGCUUCUUUCCUAAUGUAUUUGUAGACUUUCCUUUUCAGAUAUUUUCUUUUUGCUGUGAUCUAACCCAUUAUGACACCAUCAGCACAAAUUUCCCCUCAGGCCCACCUGACGAGACCAUCGGGUUAAUUGCAAAAAGUCUCAUUAGCGUUAUCAUACAGGCAGCCAUUUGAAUUACAAGAAGCACAAUACUUACCAGAGCACAUAGGGAGUCCAAUGAAUGGAAUAUGAGUGUGUGAUGAUCAACUAGUGCAGAUAACCCCGGGCAAAAAACAACAUUAUUCUUUAAUAUCUCUGUCUCUUCGAACCACAGGAACACAGAUCACAGAUAGUGUUUGAGUGAAGCUAUCAGUGCAGAAGUGAAUAUCAAAGCCAAGGAGACAUCAGAGAGGUGAGGACAUUUGAUUCCAUCUAUCAGUUUUGUCUACUGGCAACCUAGAUUAAAGAAGAUUAUCAGAUACUUUAGGUACUGCUGUUUUGGCAGUUCAUCAGUCUUUGUGAUAUUAUGAUGAUUUUUAUUUUUUAGACAUUUUUUUUUUUUCCAGUUAGCUUGAUGUUAGACUGGGACGCCGCCACUUAACUGUGAAAAAGGAAACAAAAUACAUCUCAGUAUAAAGAGCAAACCAAAUGGAAUUGUGGGUGUUGAGACGUCACAUUGUGUGGACAGCUGAUAGAUUUUCAUUGAUUUUUUUCAUUGUCUCCUGCCUCCUUUUCACUGUAAAGUGUCUAUUAUUAUUAUUGGCUUUGAUUUUACAGAACGUAUUGACAUCUGUGCAGUGCAUAUAAAUGUGGCACAAACAGAUGAGACCAUUUAAUGGUGAGCGUGUUUGGCAGUAAAUGGAUCUGUCGAUUGAUUGGUUUUUGACUAGAGCAUAUGAAUAUACUGUAUAACCUUAUCUGGACUACAAAACAAUUUAAUUGGGAAAUAAAAUGUGACUGGAACUCGCUGCCAAAAGAGCCCACCCCAAGACCUCACAUUAGCAAUAUAUAGUUCAAAAUAAACAUGAGUGCUUACAGACAGCAUACAAGGAAGGUAAAUGAUGAGUGUGAAUUGGUGUGCCAGCAGCUUCUGUGGCUUCCUCCACUGAGCAGAUCAAACAAGCUUCUGCUUAAUGCUUUUCAUUUAUCAAAUACAGCCCCAUCAGCAGACAAGCAACAGUCUCAACGGUGUGCUAGAGCUCUGAAACAUUAAUGACAGAUGUCACCGCAGAAAGGUCUGAGUCGUGGCAGAGAGGCUAACAGAGAACUUAGGUAUCAGACUGACAAUUAACCCUGGUAAGUGCACACACACACACACACACACACACAUCUACAAUCUCCAGUAGUCAUUUCAGUCUUCUGAAAUGAGACACAAUGUUUUUGGUUUUAGUUUUAGUCCAGUGUAAAGCACUUAACACUAUCACAUGGAGACACUGAUUCUCUGAUUACUUUUUUAGUAUGUAUAUAUUGAUACAUUAACAUUUAAUUGCAGCUUAAGUAAUUGUUUUUAAUGUUUUUAAGCAGAAGAACUAAAAAGAAAAUGAAUUACAGAAAUACGGUAGCAAUAUUUUCUGUCUGCACUUCAUUACCGCUAACUGUUGUUCUGCUAUUAUUAUGAAUAGUCACCUCCUUAUCAGCUCAUUAGCCAGCAAAUUGUCUGUAAGCAGUGCAGGUGUCAUGAUGGUCAGAGAUUUCACCAAGCUGAGGAGGAAUCACUAAAAUUGGCUCAAGAGGUCAAGCACGUUUGGAGUCUAAAGUGAUAAUCUCAGCAGUUUGAUGUGAUCCAUGGUUAUGAGAUUCAGAACUAUGGUGCUUCGGGGGACAAUGACAGUUGUUCCAUAACUUUAAGAAGUUUGAGUCUCAAGAGAUCAUCUCCAGUGAAUUAGCCGCUUUUGACCAGAGUCAAAGUUCCUUUCUCCUCUUUGUUGUCUGAAGGCGAUAAGAAGAACAGAGCAGUGGACAGGGUCAGGAUUUGAUCGGUAGGACUU
Carassius auratus (goldfish) is the source of this 3686-nucleotide long non-coding RNA. RefSeq lists it as uncharacterized. The record is from RefSeq and is a predicted model, not a curated record. The transcript has 4 exons. Lineage: Eukaryota; Metazoa; Chordata; Actinopteri; Cypriniformes; Cyprinidae.